Molecule: non-coding RNA, 31 nt
Filed under: Mus musculus (house mouse)
Lineage: Eukaryota; Metazoa; Chordata; Mammalia; Rodentia; Muridae
Source: RNAcentral
GCUGAUGUAAAUAUUUCACACACAAAAAAAU